This 208-nucleotide unclassified non-coding RNA is filed under the name uncultured Sebacina. RNAcentral's name for it is "sequence contains ITS2". The record is from RNAcentral. Lineage: Eukaryota; Fungi; Basidiomycota; Agaricomycetes; Sebacinales; Sebacinaceae.
GUACUCUCACACUCUCCGAUCCUUUGGAUUUGGGGAGCGGUGGACUUGGGUGCUUGCCGCUUUCGUUGGUGGCUCACCUCAAAUGCGUUAGUGCAUCUCUUGAUUGGACAUAGUACGGCGUGAUAAGUGUCUUCGCCGGCACCUCAUAAUAAGAGGGUGGCUGAUCGAGAGCUCUGUGCUUUCAAACCGUCUUCGGACAAACCUGACA